Molecule: ribosomal RNA, 919 nt
Filed under: uncultured archaeon
Lineage: Archaea
Description: bacterial SSU rRNA
Rfam family: Archaeal small subunit ribosomal RNA
Source: RNAcentral
UUCCGGUUGAUCCUGCCGGACCCGACUGCUAUUUGGGUGAGAAUAAGCCAUGCGAGUCGAAUGGGAUACCAAAAGUUCCCAUGGCGAACUGCUCAGUAACACAUGAUCAACUUGCCCUACGGAGAGAAAUACCCUCGGGAAACUGAGGAUAAUGUCUCAUAGUUGAUUAGGCUUGGAAAAGUUUUUCAAUUAAAGGGAUAAGAUAAAUGGUUCUUAUCUGCCGUAGGAUAGGAUCGUGGUCGAUUAUGGUUGUUGGUAAGGUAACGGCUUACCAAGCCGAUAAUCGAUAGGGGCCGUGAGAGCGGGAGCCCCGAGAUGGGUACUGAGACAACGACCCAGGCCUUACGAGGCGCAGCAGGCGCGAAACCUCCGCAAUACACGAAAGUGUGACGGGGUUACCCAAAGUGUCCUAAUCUGGACUGUGGUAGGUGAGUAAUGUCCCCUACUAGAAAGGAGAGGGCAAGGCUGGUGCCAGCCGCCGCGGUAAAACCAGCUCUUCAAGUGGUCGGGAUAAUUAUUGGGCUUAAAGCGUCCGUAGCCGGUUUAGUAAGUUCCUGGUAAAAUCGGGUAGCUUAACUAUCUGUAUGCUAGGAAUACUGCUAUACUAGAGGGCGGGAGAGGUCUGAGGUACUACAGGGGUAGGGGUGAAAUCCUAUAAUCCUUGUAGGACCACCAGUGGCGAAGGCGUCAGACUGGAACGCGCCUGACGGUGAGGGACGAAAGCCAGGGGAGCGAACCGGAUUAGAUACCCGGGUAGUCCUGGCCGUAAACGAUGCAUACUAGGUGAUGGCACGGCCAUGAGCCGUGUCAGUGCCGUAGGGAAACCGUUAAGUGUGCCGCCUGGGAAGUACGGUCGCAAGGCUAAAACUUAAAGGAAUUGGCGGGGGAGCACCACAAGGGGUGAAGCCUGCGGUUUAAU